Long non-coding RNA from Anthonomus grandis grandis, 965 nucleotides. RefSeq lists it as uncharacterized. Lineage: Eukaryota; Metazoa; Arthropoda; Insecta; Coleoptera; Curculionidae. The transcript is spliced from 2 exons. The record is from RefSeq and is a predicted model, not a curated record.
AAUUAUGUACCACGCUUUUUUGGAACACCUUGUAUCAAUCAAACUAAUUUUGAAAAGUAACCUGUUUAACUCAAUUAACAUUCCCUUUUUUAAAGUAUUUUUCCGCUUCGAAAUUUAGCCGCAAUUGAGCACCGCGAUAUUAAAUGGACACCCUGUAUAUAUAUAUAUACCGACCUAAUUUGGAGACUGCGAACCGAUCGUGGUCAGCACUUCGGUUCGGUAUUCGUACGGUACCUAAUUUAUGAGUUUGUGCCAAAAUGAGUAAUCUUGACCAGGCUGUUUUUUUAGGUUAUAAGUAGGUCGUGGAGUAAAAGUUUUUUGAGCAGUUUUUUAGAUGCGCGAUUUAUUUAAGUCGUUAAAAAAUAAAUGCGAGGAUAUAUUAGUUGUCAUUACAAAUGAUUCAAUUGUGUUCAAUUCCCGUCGUUCAAUUCUGUGAUAGUUCGUUUCUUGACCCAUAUUUUUAAUAGUAGCAUCAAAAAUUGGAUUUGUCCUAUUUACUUGUGCUACUAUUAUAUAAUUAAUACAAUUAAAUUGGUUUUUUUGAAUAAUGUCCCAAAAAUUGUGGAUAAACACUAGAAUCGUAAAUAAUUAUGUAACUUACAUUAAUACUAUUAAAAAUUAUUUUUACUUGUAAUCGGAAUCAUUACUACAUUCAUUUUUUAACUGUAAUACUUUCUUUAGAUGUCUGCAAGCACAUCUUCAAUUUAAGAUCUAUCAAUUAAGGCACUAAAAAUCUGUUGAAGACGUGGUCUCCAUUUAUUUAGCCGAAGCAUCAGAACUCUGUAACAGAAAAAUUUAAGUACCAAUAACAGAAAUAAAUACUCUUGAAAGCCAGCUUUAAGAAAAAUAAAACAUAGAAUAAGAAAAAAUGUGACUGAAUGUUCUUUAUUUUUAGUUUUUAUACACUUAAAUAUUUAUAAAUAUACAUAAUUAUAUCAAAUUUAAAUAAAUGAACUACAACGAAA